UUUUCCAGAUUUUGUAGUUCUUUAAUACCCAAACCCGUAAGUUCUUCCCCCAUUAAUUGCCUGCUUUUGCCGAAAGAAAAAAAAAUGAAAUGUUUUAUCAAUGAGAUAGGUUUUUCUCUUAAGGCAAAAAUAUUCAGAGCAUAAGUUUUUUUUUUAGCAUUUCUAUAUUUUUGUUUAAGAAGCUAAGCUGUAAAUUUACAACUUCCUAGAACUAUCAGUAAUGUUUUCAGGUGGCAUCACGUGGCUAACUUUUUUUGGCAGUCAGAAAUGAAAUCACCUGGUUAACUGAUAUAAAAUUUUUUAGGGAGUCAGUAGAACAAAAAUAUAUUAUUUACCAUAUGAUUAUUUCCAGUAAUGAGCUAUUGAAUCAACCUUUUGGGUCUUGUAACAUCUCCUUCAUUUCAUACAACCGAGGGGUGUCUCAUGUUUGACAUUGACUUACUAAUAAGUAACAAAUAUAUAUAUAUUUUCUCCAAAAAAAGAAAAAGUAACAAAUAUAUAAGCUACUCUUUAAUAUAUUUUGAUUUCAUUCUCUGGAAAUGUUGGGAGAGAAAAAAAUAAGCAAAGAUGGAUAUCAUUUUUCCCUUUUGGAUGAUUUAAUGGACACUGGGAAAGGUGGAUGAUAAAAUUUGCCUUCUCCUUUUCCUAUUUUAUGCCCUCUCGUUAUUCUUUUUCUUCCCAAAAGGUCAUGGAUGUAGGAUUUGGAUCCUGAAAAGCGAGAUGUGUAAAGUGGAAAAGUAAAAUAUACAUACUGUGGAUUUGAAAAGAGCACCUCAUGAACUUAACCCACUUUAAAUCAAAGGUUGAUAAGUGAUAACCUUUACUUGGUCACUUCAGACAUCUCUUUGCUUUACUGGAAUCAAAUCUGAUGAAAUAACCUGUUCGAUUCUACUAUGUCUCUGUUUACUUUUAGUACAUUCAUGCAACUAAUUUGUGUUAGUUUAUUUAUUUUUUACCUGUGGCAUUCUUGCAAGUACUGAAGCUGCUGCCUCAAGCUUGCUGCUUCUGUCUGCCAAAACUAGCAAGUAGAAAUGCAGGUAUCAAAUAUAUUAAACAGUUGUUAUUUAAGGAAAUUAUUUUAAAUGCAAGAAUUGUAGGGUAGACAAUUUGAAGACUAACAUAGUAACAUUAGCGUUGAGAACCAACAUUCAGAUGUUUUUGACAAUCUCCCUAAGUAUAUUAUUCCACUAAUGGUUGAUUUCAAUUAGACGAAUAAGUUACAUUUUCAUGUUCAAGGAAGAUAAGUUUUGUACCUCUUUAAGAGGUUGAUUGAUGCCCAAUGCUUCCCUUUCCUUUAUGAGGCCAAAGAGUCUAGCAGAAAAUUGGGUAAAUAGAUGCAAUAGAGGGUGGUUUGCUACUCAUUUUUUUGGGAGAUUCAUUGGUACUUUUAUGACACCAGUAUGUGUGGUGGUUGUUAUUGAUGCCCAUGCUUGGAAUCCUGGCACCCUGGGAAUUUAGUAGGUGUGAAAUCUGAAAUCACUGUAUUCUACAUAUGCUAUGUGUAUUUUGAGUCUUUCAAUUGCGAUACUUAAUAAGAAUAACUUCUAAAAGCUUAAAUUAUUAGCUGAAGGCCUAUUAAUGGUUUUAUUUCUCCAACGAGCCUUUAUGACAGAGCUGUUUUGGCAAGCGUAGGCAAUGUAUUUGCCCACUUUACCUUUUGCGGGAAAUUUAAUAUGACGAAUGGGGCAACAAAAAUCAAACUGUUGACCACAUGAUUUUUUUAAAAAUUGAUAGGAUUUGGAUUCUCUUAUGUUUUAAAUUAAUAGUGGAGAGAGGGUUCUGUCAGAGUCAUAAGACAAGUUGUUUUUAUUAUAAGUACUGCACCAAUAACCCAUCAUGGUGGCUCCCUGCGUAAAAAUCCUAGUUGCUAUCCCUAACAAGGCUGUACACGUGUAUCUUGAGUUCCAUAUAUCUGAUACUAGAAUGCCUCGCAUACUAGUGAAUCGCUCAUCUACUAAUUAUGGAUGGGCGCUAGGAAAUAUUAGGAUGGCUACAUGAAUUUGGCGGUUGGAAUAGAGUAAGCAGCCUUCAAUUUUCUAGUUAAUUUGUGGUUGUUGCCUUUUGAAAAUAAAUAGAAUAAGGUGUGACUAUCCAAGUAUGACGGUGAUAUUAGUUUAUAUCUGUCACUUACCUAACCUAUGUUGGUUUGUAUUUUUCUUGGAUCAUUUAUUAAUUUCUUGAAGUUUAUUGUCUAUUUCUCAUAUUGCUUUCUUGAAAUUGUGAAGUUUCUCCUCAUUUUCUAAUAAUCUGUUGAUCUCCUGUUUACAUCUUCAUUUUCUGUUGUUUGUCACUUUUGUUUAUUCCACCCACACAUUGGCAUUGUGUGCUAGGCAUGCAUCCAUUGUAUGCCUCCUUUACAGUUGCUUUCCCCAAUCAUGCUUUAGCAAAAUAGCUGUCUUGUAAGCUUAGUCAUGAAGAAAUAAAUUUUGAAGUUGAUUUUGUUCCAUGAAAUGCUUUGUUUGAUGUAAGAGAAAUAGUAAUGCCACUAAAGAAUUUAAAUGAGGCUAUGAGAUGCUUGAAAUCCUAGCUAUCGUAUACUUGCCAAGAAUCAUGACAACUCAUGAUGUCUCUGAGAAAAUGUGAGUUGUUUUUUUUUUUUUGACUGGAUAAAAUGUUAGUUAUAACAUUGAAAUAGUAUUUUUUGGAUUCUUUGGAUUGAAUUGUGAUAAAUUCUAGUAAUCAUUACUAGUAAUAGCAAGGAGGGGAAUCUUGGAAACAUUUGCUUGAAUACCCUAGUAUCCUUAGUAUAAGGAUACUUGCUACGCUUUUAUUCUACAUGAUGCAAGCUAAUAAGGAGAAGUGAUCAAAUUAGACAAGUGGUUUUUCCUUGUAAGAAACUAGUGUUUCUUAAGUAUAGAGAUUAGAGGGGAAGGGGAUGGGGUCCAUUAUUUGUUACUUUUUUGGCACAUGCAGAUGUCAUUACCAUGGCUUGAGCCUAUCCAACUCCCUUAAGCUAAGCCAAAAUGAUUUACUGUCGAGCAGCAAGAAAAGAAGAAAUAUGGUAUUUUACUCUCUAGUCUGGAACCUGGAUGUCUUGUAAGAUGUAAAACAGGAACGUACCUGCUAUUGUUUGUAUAGAAGGUAACUAAAAGAAUAUAAUGUUUUCAAUUUUCUUGUCUAACCUCUCUUGAUUUGGU
RNAcentral lists this long non-coding RNA (3137 nucleotides) under Glycine max (soybean). RNAcentral describes it as "long non-coding RNA (GMAX_LNC003001)". Lineage: Eukaryota; Viridiplantae; Streptophyta; Magnoliopsida; Fabales; Fabaceae. The record is from RNAcentral.